This is a long non-coding RNA of Anneissia japonica, 498 nucleotides long. RefSeq lists it as uncharacterized. The record is from RefSeq and is a predicted model, not a curated record. NCBI's taxonomy places the organism in Eukaryota, Metazoa, Echinodermata, Crinoidea, Comatulida, Comatulidae. The transcript has 4 exons.
UGACGACCCGGGUACGACAUUGCGAGUACCGUGCUAAUAGGGUCUGAAACUGCAAAUCCUGAAUAUGGUUAUAUUUGUGAAAAAUCAAUAACAACCACGCAGUUAUCCACGACUACUGAUGGCAUAACAAUGCAGUCAUUUUCUAGCAGUAUUAUACCGUUAAGUUCCACUUAUCGUAUGCAUACAUCAGUAGUAGCCACGGUAAAUGGUGAACCCAAAGAACUGGUAUUAGUGAUGAGCCAAUUACGAAAACUAACACAGAAAAUAACAAAGAUUUAUUCAUGAUCAUGCUGGCGCCUGUGUUGCCGUUUGUUAUUGGUAGUGUAGUUCUAAUAUUACUCUAUAAGUUUCGUGAUCAAUUAUGCUGCAAGUCUAAGAGAGAAACGGAACACAAACUUACGAAUGGUGUAGAUGAGGUUAUGCCGUGUGAUAUAUACAAUAUAACUUUGGAUAAUGGCAAACAUUUAUGUAAAGAAAAGACAUCAGGGAAAAUGUUUG